Molecule: ribosomal RNA, 266 nt
Filed under: uncultured prokaryote
Description: partial 16S ribosomal RNA
Rfam family: Bacterial small subunit ribosomal RNA
Source: RNAcentral
UACGUAGGUGGCAAGCGUUAUCCGGAAUUAUUGGGCGUAAAGAGCGCGCAGGUGGUUGAUUAAGUCUGAUGUGAAAACCCACGGCUUAACCGUGGAGGGUCAUUGGAAACUGGUCGACUUGAGUGCAGAAGAGGGAAGUGGAAUUCCAUGUGUAGCGGUGAAAUGCGUAGAGAUAUGGAGGAACACCAGUGGCGAAGGCGGCUUCCUGGUCUGUAACUGACACUGAGGCGCGAAAGCGUGGGGAGCAAACAGGAUUAGAUACCCGU